Molecule: transfer RNA, 66 nt
Filed under: Climacia areolaris
Lineage: Eukaryota; Metazoa; Arthropoda; Insecta; Neuroptera; Sisyridae
Description: tRNA-Phe
Rfam family: tRNA
About the family: Transfer RNA (tRNA) molecules are approximately 80 nucleotides in length. Their secondary structure includes four short double-helical elements and three loops (D, anti-codon, and T loops). Further hydrogen bonds mediate the characteristic L-shaped molecular structure. tRNAs have two regions of fundamental functional importance: the anti-codon, which is responsible for specific mRNA codon recognition, and the 3' end, to which the tRNAs corresponding amino acid is attached (by aminoacyl-tRNA synthetases). tRNAs cope with the degeneracy of the genetic code in two manners: having more than one tRNA (with a specific anti-codon) for a particular amino acid; and 'wobble' base-pairing, i.e. permitting non-standard base-pairing at the 3rd anti-codon position.
Source: RNAcentral
AUUUAAAUAGCUUAAAUUUAAAGCGUAACAUUGAAGCUGUUAAAAUGAUUAAUUAAUCUUUAAAUA